CGGGAUACAAAAAGUCUGAGACCUUGACCAAGCUUGAAACGGUCGAACUCGACAUCCUCUAAGUCGUCGUCGCCUCUAGUUCUCGCUCCAAUAACCUCACUAAAACACCUUCAGCCAUUGCCUAACCACCAUCACCACCAAAUGCCACACCGAUGAAGAUUGAAAGGAGAUCGUUGCAACACCAAAGGUUGAGAAGUUAAAGCAAAACGAAGUAUCCGGUGGGAGACGGUGAUGUAAGAGACAACACACAUGGGCCGCCACGCCCAUCUUGAUGCAUGAAGAAGCUGACAGCUAAGGUGAACUCUGACAUACAUUAAGUUGUUUUUUUUUUUUUUUGUAGAAAAUACUCAUCAACCUUAAUUUUGACAGAUUUUUUUUCUCAAAAAGAGAAUAUGAAAUUCCCACCAGCUUUUAAUGUCUCUUCCCAUUAGCCAAACAUUUACAUGUUUCUAUAUUUUUCAUUACCAAUUUGCCCUUCCUUCAGUUUUCUCCUGUCUCCUACUCUCUUUCAUAUUUUCUUCCUCUCUCUCUCUCUCUCAACCGUCGGCUGCCUCGAAGCUCUCCGGCGCCGAUCUGCUGCAGGAAAAUCUAGUUCGAUGCCGACAAUCGACGCCGCCGACGAUCGAUGACCCUACUCUCUUCCUCUAGUUGGUUGAUUAAUGUUCUCUAAAGUGCAUCUCUCUAGAUCAGAGGCCUCUAGCCUCGAGUUCUGAUUGAAGGAACCAAAUUGAGGUCUACAUGCUCACUAAAUCAGAUUUUUUUGAAGGUAAGUAUGGGUUUCUGCAAGUUUGUUAUUUGGCCAGAAUCUGUGUAAAAUUGAAAUCAAGUUUUGAAACUUAACUAUAUGUGUUUGAUUGAAUUUGAAUAAGACUUAACAUAGUAGUUGAAUGAUCGGUGUGUGGGAUGAUAAUUAUCCAUGUUGUUUGCAAUUGUAAGUUGUGUUCCAGAGUCAUUAAUAUGGGCUUGAUUGUGAUUCAUAGUUGGGGAAAUAAGGUGUAUACAACAAAAGCUUCAAUUUGAUAUGGUAGCCCUUCUAGGUAAAAUCAUGAAGCAAUGGUCUGUAGCUGGGUAGAGUACUAGAGUUUCGGUUAUCGUAUACACACGAUGCUAUGUAUGAAGAAACCAAUAGGUUUUAAUGGCAUUCGCUUGACCACAGUAAUCGUAGAUGACAUGAAAUGUGUGCUUUGCUUUUCAGCUAGGAUGAUAAUUCUCUCUUUUCUUUUAAUAAUUUUUUACUUAUUUUUAUUUUUUGAUCGGUUUUCGAUGUAGUGAUUUCUACCGGAAAACACUCCUAUAUAGGAUGCAAAUUUGCUCCCCACCCUCAUUCCCACCCACCUGGUUGAAUGUCACAUGUCUUAUCUUUUAAUCACUCUAACCAUGGUUAACAACAUUUUUUUUUUGAACAGGAUUUAAAAACAUCUAUUUAUAAUAAGAAAUUAUUUUUAAUUUUACUUUAAACCACUCUUUUCUAUUUUCUAAACAACCCUAACAAAUUUAGUACUGAAGUAAUUAAAAGCAAANNNN
RNAcentral lists this long non-coding RNA (1524 nucleotides) under Fragaria vesca (wild strawberry). RNAcentral describes it as "long non-coding RNA (FVES_LNC001010)". Lineage: Eukaryota; Viridiplantae; Streptophyta; Magnoliopsida; Rosales; Rosaceae. The record is from RNAcentral.